RNAcentral lists this ribosomal RNA (253 nucleotides) under uncultured bacterium. RNAcentral describes it as "partial 16S ribosomal RNA". It matches the Rfam family "Bacterial small subunit ribosomal RNA", at positions 524 to 776 of the family's 1533-position model. The record is from RNAcentral.
UACAGAGGUCUCGAGCGUUGUUCGGAUUCAUUGGGCGUAAAGGGCGCGUAGGCGGCGGGGUAAGUCUGGUGUGAAAUCUAGGAGCUCAACUCCUAAACUGCACUGGAUACUGCUCUGCUGGAGGACUGGAGAGGAGACUGGAAUUCACGGUGUAGCAGUGAAAUGUGUAGAGAUCGGGAGGAACACCGGUGGCGAAGGCGGGUCUCUGGGCAUUUCCUGACGCUGAGGCGCGAAAGCGUGGGGAGCAAACGGG